This 464-nucleotide ribosomal RNA is filed under the name uncultured bacterium. RNAcentral's name for it is "partial 16S ribosomal RNA". It matches the Rfam family "Bacterial small subunit ribosomal RNA", at positions 28 to 507 of the family's 1533-position model. The record is from RNAcentral.
GACGAACGCUGGCGGCGUGCUUAACACAUGCAAGUCGAACGGUAAGGCCCUUUCGGGGGUCCACGGGUGGCGAACGGGUGCGUAACACGUGGGUGAUCUGCCCCGCACUUUGGGAUAAGGCUGGGAAACUGGGUCUAAUACUGGAUCGGACUACUCGAUUCAUGUCGUUUGGUCCAAAGUUUUGGCGGUGUGGGAUGGGCCCGAGGCCUAUCAGCUUGUUGGUUGGGUGAUGGCCUACCAAGGCGACGCCGGGUAGCCGGCCUGAGAGGGUGGCCGGCCACACUGCGACUGAGAUACGGCCCAGACUCCAAUGGUACGCAGCGGUGGAGAGUAUUGCACAAUGGGCGCAAGCCUGAUGUAGCGACGCCGCGUGGGGGAUGACGGCCUGCGGGUUGUAAACCAAUGUCAGCAUAGACGAGGCGUAAGUGACGGUAUCUGCAGAAGAAGCACCGGCUAACUACGUG